Molecule: ribosomal RNA, 1275 nt
Filed under: metagenome
Description: SSU rRNA
Rfam family: Eukaryotic small subunit ribosomal RNA
Source: RNAcentral
GGUUGAUCCUGCCAGUAGUCAUAUGCUUGUCUCAAAGAUUAAGCCAUGCAUGUCUAAGUAUAAACAAUCUAUACAGUGAAACUGCGAAUGGCUCAUUAAAUCAGUUAUAGUUUAUUUGAUAGUACCUCACUACAUGGAUAACCGUAGUAAUUCUAGAGCUAAUACAUGCGAAAAGACCCGACUUCUGGAAGGGUUGUAUUUAUUAGAUAAAAAACCAAUGCGGAGCAAUCCGGUUUUUGGUGAAUCAUAAUAACUUAACGGAUCGCAUGGCCUUGUGCCGGCGACAGUUCAUUCAAAUUUCUGCCCUAUCAACUUUCGAUGGUACGGUAUUGGCCUACCAUGGUUACAACGGGUAACGGGGAAUUAGGGUUCGAUUCCGGAGAGGGAGCCUGAGAGAUGGCUACCACAUCCAAGGAAGGCAGCAGGCGCGCAAAUUACCCAAUCCUGACACAGGGAGGUAGUGACAAUAAAUAGCGAUACAGGGCUCUCUGAGCCUUGUAAUUGAAAUGAGUACAAUUUAAAUCUCUUAACGAGUAUCAAUUGGAGGGCAAGUCUGGUGCCAGCAGCCGCGGUAAUUCCAGCUCCAAUAGCGUAUAUUAAAGUUGUUGCAGUUAAAAAGCUCGUAGUUGGAUUUCUGGGCCUUGGUGGUGGUUCGCCGCAAGGUGUAUACUGCCACUGGAGCCCAUCCUCUCGAAGACGGGGCGUGCUCUUUACCGAGUGCGUCUUGGACUCGAGACUUUUACUUUGAAAAAAUUAGAGUGUUCAAAGCAGGCUUACGCUUGAAUACUUCAGCAUGGAAUAAUGGAAUAGGACUUUGGUCUUAUUUUGUUGGUUUCUAGGACCGAAGUAAUGAUUAAUAGGGACAGUUGGGGGCAUUAGUAUUUAAUUGUCAGAGGUGAAAUUCUUGGAUUUAUGAAAGACUAACUUCUGCGAAAGCAUUUGCCAAGGAUGUUUUCAUUAAUCAAGAACGAAAGUUAGGGGAUCGAAGACGAUCAGAUACCGUCGUAGUCUUAACCAUAAACUAUGCCGACUAGGGAUCGGUGGGUGUUAUUAAUGACCCCAUCGGCACCUUAUGAGAAAUCAGAGUUUUUGGGUUCUGGGGGGAGUAUGGUCGCAAGGCUGAAACUUAAAGGAAUUGACGGAAGGGCACCACCAGGAGUGGAGCCUGCGGCUUAAUUUGACCCAACACGGGGAAACUCACCAGGUCCAGACAUAGUAAGGAUUGACAGAUUGAGAGCUCUUUCUUGAUUCUAUGGGUGGUGGUGCAUGGCCGUC